RNAcentral lists this ribosomal RNA (429 nucleotides) under Bacteroidota bacterium. RNAcentral describes it as "Bacteroidetes bacterium partial 16S ribosomal RNA". It matches the Rfam family "Bacterial small subunit ribosomal RNA", at positions 355 to 776 of the family's 1533-position model. Lineage: Bacteria; Pseudomonadati; Bacteroidota. The record is from RNAcentral.
UAGGGAAUCUUCGGCAAUGGGGGGAACCCUGACCGAGCAACGCCGCGUGAGUGAAGAAGGUUUUCGGAUCGUAAAGCUCUGUUGUUAAGGAAGAACGAGUGUGAGAAUGGAAAGUUCAUACUGUGACGGUACUUAACCAGAAAGGGACGGCUAACUACGUGCCAGCAGCCGCGGUAAUACGUAGGUCCCGAGCGUUGUCCGGAUUUAUUGGGCGUAAAGCGAGCGCAGGCGGUUAGAAAAGUCUGAAGUGAAAGGCAGUGGCUCAACCAUUGUAGGCUUUGGAAAAUGUUUAACUUGAGUGCAGAAGGGGAGGGUGGAAUUCCAUGUGUAGCGGUGAAAUGCGUAGAUAUAUGGAGGAACACCGGUGGCGAAAGCGGCUCUCUGGUCUGUAACUGACGCUGAGGCUCGAAAGCGUGGGGAGCGAACAGG